This 407-nucleotide ribosomal RNA is filed under the name uncultured prokaryote. RNAcentral describes it as "bacterial SSU rRNA". It matches the Rfam family "Bacterial small subunit ribosomal RNA", at positions 355 to 776 of the family's 1533-position model. The record is from RNAcentral. RNAcentral also lists the same sequence under 1 other name.
UGGGGAAUAUUGGGCAAUGGGCGAAAGCCUGACCCAGCAACGCCGCGUGAAGGAAGAAGGUUUUCGGAUUGUAAACUUCUGUCCUCAGGGAAGAAGGAAGUGACGGUACCUGAGGAGGAAGCCCCGGCUAACUACGUGCCAGCAGCCGCGGUAAUACGUAGGGGGCGAGCGUUGUCCGGAAUGACUGGGCGUAAAGGGCGCGUAGACGGCUGUCUAAGUCUGGAGUGAAAGUCCUGUUUUCAAGGCGGGAAUUGCUUUGGAGACUGGAUGGCUUGAGUGCGGAAGAGGUAAGUGGAAUUCCCAGUGUAGCGGUGAAAUGCGUAGAGAUUGGGAGGAACACCAGUGGCGAAGGCGACUUACUGGGCCGUAACUGACGUUGAAGCGCGAAAGCGUGGGGAGCGAACAGG